UACGUAGGUGGCAAGCGUUAUCCGGAAUUAUUGGGCGUAAAGCGCGCGUAGGCGGUUUCUUAAGUCUGAUGUGAAAGCCCACGGCUCAACCGUGGAGGGUCAUUGGAAACUGGGAAACUUGAGUACAGAAGAGGAAAGUGGAAUUCCAUGUGUAGCGGUGAAAUGCGCAGAGAUAUGGAGGAACACCAGUGGCGAAGGCGACUUUCUGGUCUGUAACUGACGCUGAUGUGCGAAAGCGUGGGGAUCAAACAGG
Molecule: ribosomal RNA, 253 nt
Filed under: uncultured bacterium
Lineage: Bacteria
Description: partial 16S ribosomal RNA
Rfam family: Bacterial small subunit ribosomal RNA
Source: RNAcentral